CCAGACUCCUACGGGAGGCAGCAGUGAGGAAUAUUGGUCAAUGGCCGAGAGGCUGAACCAGCCAAGUCGCGUGAGGGAAGACGGCCCUACGGGUUGUAAACCUCUUUUGUCGGGGAGCAAAGAGAGUCACGUGUGACUCAUUGAGAGUACCCGAAGAAAAAGCAUCGGCUAACUCCGUGCCAGCAGCCGCGGUAAUACGGAGGAUGCGAGCGUUAUCCGGAUUUAUUGGGUUUAAAGGGUGCGUAGGCGGGACCUUAAGUCAGCGGUAAAAUUGCGGUGCUCAACGCCGUAGAGCCGUUGAAACUGGGAUUCUUGAGUGAGCGAGAAGUAUGCGGAAUGCGUGGUGUAGCGGUGAAAUGCAUAGAUAUCACGCAGAACUCCGAUUGCGAAGGCAGCAUACCGGCGCCCGACUGACGCUGAAGCACGAAAGCGUGGGUAUCGAACAGGAUUAGAUACCCCUGUA
This 463-nucleotide ribosomal RNA is filed under the name uncultured bacterium. Its description in RNAcentral is "bacterial SSU rRNA". It matches the Rfam family "Bacterial small subunit ribosomal RNA", at positions 331 to 792 of the family's 1533-position model. The record is from RNAcentral.